RNAcentral lists this ribosomal RNA (276 nucleotides) under uncultured prokaryote. Its description in RNAcentral is "partial 16S ribosomal RNA". It matches the Rfam family "Bacterial small subunit ribosomal RNA", at positions 524 to 800 of the family's 1533-position model. The record is from RNAcentral.
UACGUAGGGGGCGAGCGUUGUCCGGAUUUACUGGGCGUAAAGGGUGAGUAGGCGGUUAUAUAUGUCAGGUGUAAAAAGCUAUGGCUUAACCAUAGUAAGCACUUGAAACUGUAUGACUUGAGUGCAGGAGAGGUAAGCGGAAUUCCUAGUGUAGCGGUGAAAUGCGUAGAUAUUAGGAGGAACACCGGUGGCGAAGGCGGCUUACUGGACUGUAACUGACGCUGAGUCACGAAAGCGUGGGUAGCAAACAGGAUUAGAUACCCCGGUAGUCCCUGA